CUGUUUGGCUGGAGAUGCACAUGCUUGGUGGAGGAGAAUGCGGCAGAACCGAGGUUUGGAUGCAUUGCAGAUGAGAUGGGACGAGUUUCGUGGUAUGCUGUAUGGGUCCUAUUUCCGAUGCAGCAUAAAGCAGAAACUCGAAGGGGAUCUGAAGAAGGUGCAGCAGGGGGAUCAGUCAGUACAGGAGUAUACUCGGGAGUUU
This 202-nucleotide long non-coding RNA is filed under the name Ananas comosus (pineapple). RNAcentral describes it as "long non-coding RNA (ACOM_LNC001732)". Lineage: Eukaryota; Viridiplantae; Streptophyta; Magnoliopsida; Poales; Bromeliaceae. The record is from RNAcentral.